AUGACGCAAGAACAAUAUCAAAUGUCCAUGAUGGGUGAGCUGAAGUUCCUUCUUGGUCUUCAAAUUCGUCAGCAAAGCAACGACAUCUUCAUAUCUCAAGAGAAAUACCUCAAAGACUGCCUGAAGAAGUUUGGAAUGCAAGACUGCAAGGGAUACAUAACGCCAAUGCCAACCAAAAGCCAUCUGGGCCCUGAUGACAAUGGUAAAGAGUUCGAUCAAAAGGUAUACCGCUCCAUGAUUGGUUCUUUACUCUAUUUAUGUGCAUCUAGGCCAGAUAUCAUGCUUAGCGUUUGCAUGUGUGCCCGAUUCCAAGCGGCACCAAAGGAGUCGCAUCACUUAGCUGUGAAGCGAAUUCUUCGAUAUUUGGCUUACACCCAACACUAG
Molecule: ribosomal RNA, 384 nt
Filed under: Triticum aestivum (bread wheat)
Lineage: Eukaryota; Viridiplantae; Streptophyta; Magnoliopsida; Poales; Poaceae
Description: partial small subunit ribosomal RNA
Source: RNAcentral